RNAcentral lists this long non-coding RNA (266 nucleotides) under Cyanistes caeruleus (blue tit). RNAcentral describes it as "lncRNA (ENSCCEG00000017803.1)". Lineage: Eukaryota; Metazoa; Chordata; Aves; Passeriformes; Paridae. The record is from RNAcentral.
UCACAGCUCGUGCCUUUCUUUAUUAUUAACCCAGCCCCUGUUUUUCUGCACAGAUUGCAGAGCUGCUGCCAGAGGGACACGGAGGAGCCUCCAAAGAACUUCCUGGUGGCUGCCUGAGCAAAGCUCUGCCAACCUGUCAGUCCAGCCAUGCAAGAAGAGAGGGAGAGAGACAGAGCAAAAGAAAAGAGGGAGUGAAGCAGAGAUUCUUUCAAACCUCAGCGGGACAUUAAGAUUUCCAAUGAACAAAGAAAACAACCCCUGGCACC